UUUUAGUUGUUUGUGUUUAAUGUGUCCUAGCUGAAUGCAUUUUUUUUAUUUUGUCUAGUUGCUGCUGAUUUUUAAGAUGUCUUAAACUCCAUUUUUGUUGAUUUUAAUUGUGCAGCUACAUACAUUAGAUGGCAAUUACAUGGGGCUAAUGGUUUAUUUUGCUAAACAUCUAUUCAUGUACAGCAAAGGACACAUGAAGAGCUACUGUCUUUCUUCUUCCCAGUGCUGACCAUUUAGCUCUCCAAGCACCUUUGAAAGCUUUCACAUUGCUUG
Molecule: long non-coding RNA, 273 nt
Filed under: Gossypium barbadense (sea-island cotton)
Lineage: Eukaryota; Viridiplantae; Streptophyta; Magnoliopsida; Malvales; Malvaceae
Description: long non-coding RNA (GBAR_LNC014265)
Source: RNAcentral